RNAcentral lists this ribosomal RNA (389 nucleotides) under Embryophyta sp. Its description in RNAcentral is "partial small subunit ribosomal RNA". It matches the Rfam family "Eukaryotic small subunit ribosomal RNA", at positions 582 to 975 of the family's 1831-position model. The record is from RNAcentral. Lineage: Eukaryota; Viridiplantae; Streptophyta.
AUUCCAGCUCCAAUAUCGUAUAUUUAAGUUGUUGCAGUUAAAAAGCUCAUAGUUGGAUCUUGGGUCGUAAGGGUUGGUCCGCCUACUCGGUGUGCACCUGCCCUUCUGUCCCUUUUGUCAGCGGUGUAUUCCUGGCCUUAAUUGGCUGGGUCGCGGUUCUGAUGCUAUUAUUUUGAAAAAAUUAUAGUGCUCAAAGCAAGCUUAUGCUCUGAAUAUAUUAGCAUGGAAUAACGUGAUAGGAGUCUGGUCCUAUUGUGUUAGCCUUCGGGACCGGAGUAAUGAUUAAUAAGGACUGUCGGGGGCAUUCGUAUUUCAUUGUCAGAGGUGAAAUUCUUGGAUUUAUGAAAGACGGACCACUGCGAAGUAAUUUGCCAAGGAUGUUUUCAUCA